RNAcentral lists this ribosomal RNA (408 nucleotides) under uncultured bacterium. Its description in RNAcentral is "partial 16S ribosomal RNA". It matches the Rfam family "Bacterial small subunit ribosomal RNA", at positions 28 to 526 of the family's 1533-position model. The record is from RNAcentral.
GACGAACGCUGGCGGCGUGCUUAACACAUGCAAGUCGAACGAUGUGGCGAACGGGUGAGUAACGCGUAAUCAACCUGCCCUUCAGAGGGGGACAACCGUUGGAAACGACUGCUAAUACCGCAUACUGAAGGCGGGGCUUGUGUCGGAUUCGCAAGUUGGAGGGGUAACGGCCAACCAAGGCGCGGAUCAGGAGCCGGUCUGAGAGGAUGAACGGCCACAUUGGGACUGAGCGACGGCCCAGACUCCUACGGGAGGGAGCAGUGGGGAAUCUUCCGCAAUGGACGAAAGUCUGACGGAGCAACGCCGCGUGAGUGAUGACGGCCUUCGGGUUGUAAAGCUCUGUUAAUCGGGACGCGGUACCGGAAUAGAAAGCCACGGCUAACUACGUGCCAGCAGCCGCGGUAAUAC